This 423-nucleotide ribosomal RNA is filed under the name Helcococcus sp. canine oral taxon 069. Its description in RNAcentral is "bacterial SSU rRNA". It matches the Rfam family "Bacterial small subunit ribosomal RNA", at positions 9 to 442 of the family's 1533-position model. The record is from RNAcentral. Lineage: Bacteria; Bacillati; Bacillota; Tissierellia; Tissierellales; Peptoniphilaceae.
GAGUUUGAUUCUGGCUCAGGACAAACGCUGGCGGCGUGCAUAACACAUGCAAGUCGAACGAAAUCUACAUGAUUUAGUGGCGAACGGGUGAGUAACACGUGAGAAACCUGCCUUACACAGAGGGAUAGCCGUUGGAAACGACGAUUAAUACCUCAUGACACCGUGACAUCGCAUGAUGAUGCGGUCAAAGAUUUAUCGGUGUAAGAUGGUCUCGCGCCUGAUUAGCUGGUUGGUGGGGUAACGGCCUACCAAGGCGACGAUCAGUAGCCGAUCUGAGAGGGUGGACGGCCACAUUGGGACUGAGACACGGCCCAAACUCCUACGGGAGGCAGCAGUGGGGAAUUUUGCACAAUGGGGGAAACCCUGAUGCAGCGACGCCGCGUGAACGAAGAAGGCCUUCGGGUUGUAAAGUUCUGUCCUUGG